RNAcentral lists this non-coding RNA (183 nucleotides) under Desulfobacterales bacterium. Lineage: Bacteria; Pseudomonadati; Thermodesulfobacteriota; Desulfobacteria; Desulfobacterales. The record is from RNAcentral.
UAAACCUUUCCCUGUCAGGGUGUCCUCGUGACACAAAAAGGGAACCCGGUGCGAAUCCGGGACGGGCCCGCCGCUGUAACCGGGGACGAAAGUCGCAUUGCCAUUGAAUCGAUACGAUUUGAGAAGGGGCGAUGAGUAGGUCGAUCCGGAAGUCAGAAUACCUGCCCUGACCUGUAUUGUUAU